UUAGUAUUCUGUGCCUUGGCA
This is a non-coding RNA of Caenorhabditis elegans, 21 nucleotides long. The record is from Ensembl. Lineage: Eukaryota; Metazoa; Nematoda; Chromadorea; Rhabditida; Rhabditidae.